This 494-nucleotide ribosomal RNA is filed under the name uncultured bacterium. RNAcentral's name for it is "partial 16S ribosomal RNA". It matches the Rfam family "Bacterial small subunit ribosomal RNA", at positions 28 to 507 of the family's 1533-position model. The record is from RNAcentral.
GACGAACGCUGGCGGCGUGCUUAACACAUGCAAGUCGAACGGUGAAGCGCCUUCCUUUUUGGUGGGUGUGGAUGAGUGGCGAACGGGUGAGUAACACGUGAGUAACCUGCCCCCUUCUUCUGGAUAACCGCAUGAAAGUGUGGCUAAUACGGGAUAUUCUGGGUCUGUCGCAUGAUGGGUCUGGGAAAGAUAUUGUUUCGGUGGGGGAUGGGCUCGCGGCCUAUCAGCUUGUUGGUGGGGUGAUGGCCUACCAAGGCGGUGACGGGUAGCCGGCCUGAGAGGGUCGACGGUACCACUGGGGAGGGGACACCGGCCCGACUCCCAAGGGGGGCAGGAGGGGGGAAUAUUGGACAAUGGGGGGCAGGCCGGUGCAGCGGCGCCGGGUUGGGGAUGGAGGCCCUUGGGUUGGGAACCCCUUUUGGCAGGGAAGCAGGGCCUCCUUGUUUGGGGGUGGGUUGACGGUAGCUGGAUAAGAAGCGCCGGCUAACUACGUG